GACGAACGCUGGCGGCGCGCCUAACACAUGCAAGUCGAGCGGAGCUGAGAGAAGCUUGCUUUUCUUAGCUUAGUGGCGAACGGGUGAGUAACGCGUGAGUAACCUGCCCUGGAGUGGGGGACAACAGUUGGAAACGACUGCUAAUACCGCAUAAGCCCACGAUCCGGCAUCGGAUUGAGGGAAAAGGAUUUAUUCGCUUCAGGAUGGACUCGCGUCCAAUUAGCUAGUUGGUGAGGUAACGGCCCACCAAGGCGACGAUUGGUAGCCGGACUGAGAGGUUGAACGGCCACAUUGGGACUGAGACACGGCCCAGACUCCUACGGGAAGCAGCAGUGGGGGAUAUUGCACAAUGGGGGAAACCCUGAUGCAGCGACGCCGCGUGGAGGAAGAAGGUUUUCGGAUUGUAAACUCCUGUCGUUAGGGACGAUAAUGACGGUACCUAACAAGAAAGCACCGGCUAACUACGUG
This 468-nucleotide ribosomal RNA is filed under the name uncultured bacterium. Its description in RNAcentral is "partial 16S ribosomal RNA". It matches the Rfam family "Bacterial small subunit ribosomal RNA", at positions 28 to 507 of the family's 1533-position model. The record is from RNAcentral.